AUUAGAUAUGUUCUUGAAAAUUAAAAAAUUUGGCGGUAUUUUAGUCUUUUCAGAGGAACCUGUCCUGUAAUCGAUAGUCCACGUUUAAAUGUAUUUACUUUUAUAAAUUUGUAUAUCGUCGUAGUUGAGUAUUUUAUCAGAAUUAUUAAUAUUCAAAAUCAGUAAUUUUUGAGUAAAUCAGAUCAAGGUGCAGUAUAUAGGUAAGAUAGAGAUGGGUUACAAUAAAUUUAUUUAUAUGGAUAAUGGGUUGAGAAAUUUGUUUGAAGGUGGAUUUGGAAGUAAUAAAAUUAAAUUAAAUUUUAUGAUUUUGGCUCUAAAAUAUACACAUAUUGCCCGUCGCUUUCAUUUAAGUUGGAAUAAGUCGUAACAAAGUAGAGGUACUGGAAAGUGUUUCUGGUAACAAAUUAGAGCUUGUUAUAAAGCAUUUUAUUUACAUUAAAAAGUUAAUUGUGAAAAUCAGUUUAAUGAAUUUAAAUAUUUAUUUAAGGUUUUUUUGUUUUUAAAAUAUUAAUUGUUUUUAUUAUUAUAAAAAGAAUAAAUUAAUUUUAUUAUAGUUAAUUAGUAUAGUGAUAGAAUAUUACAUUGGUUUAAAUUUUUUAAAGAAGAAUUAAUUUUUUGUACCUUGUGUAUCAGGGUUUAUUAAAUAAUGAUUGAAGAUUUAAUGUUCUCGAAAUUAAAAGAGCUAAGAAAGUAUUAAUUUUAUUGUAGAAUAAAUAUUUAAAAUACUUUUUUGGUAGUGAAACGUUAUUCGUUUUUAAUUAUAUCUAGUUUUUUAAGAAAUGUAUUUAAUGCAGAUUUUAAUUUAAAUUUAUUUAUUUUAUAAAUUAUUUUUAAGUUAAGAUUUUAUAAUUUUGGGGAUGAGCUUGGGAUUAUUGAGUUAUAAAUUAAUUUUUUACUUUAAAGUUAAAUAGAAUCAGAAAUUUUUAUUUUUUAUAGUUUGUUAUAAUUAGGCUUUAUAGUUUUAUUAUUUAUAUUAAUUUUAAAUUUUAUAUUAAAAAAUUUAAUUUAAUUAUGAAAUUGAAGAUAUAAUGAUAAAAUUAGUAUUAUUUAUUUUAAAUUUAUUUCAUAAGAGAUAGGUUAUUUAAAGGAAUUCGGCAAAUAUUUUUUUCACCUGUUUACUAAAAACAUGGCUUUUUGAAUGAUAAUUUAAAGUCAGGCCUGCCCAAUGAUUUUUCAAUGGCUGCAGUAUUUUGACUGUACAAAGGUAGCAUAAUCAUUAGUUUCUUAAUUAGAAGCUGGUAUGAAUGGUUUAAUGAAAAAAAAGCUGUCUUUAUUUAAUUUAAUAAAGAAUUUUAUUUUUUAGUUAAAAAGCUUAAAUUAUUUUAAAAGACGAGAAGACCCUAUAGAGUUUGAUAUUUUUAAAAAUAAUUUUUUUAGGUAUUUUGUUUUAUUGAUUUGGGUAUUUAUUUUGUUGGGGUGACUAGAAAAUUACAUUAAACUUUUCUUUAAUUAAAAAUACUAUUAU
This 1465-nucleotide ribosomal RNA is filed under the name Enochrus sp. NLG-2014. RNAcentral's name for it is "partial 16S ribosomal RNA". The record is from RNAcentral. Lineage: Eukaryota; Metazoa; Arthropoda; Insecta; Coleoptera; Hydrophilidae.